Magnolia sinica is the source of this 1565-nucleotide long non-coding RNA. RefSeq lists it as uncharacterized. The record is from RefSeq and is a predicted model, not a curated record. The transcript is spliced from 8 exons. Lineage: Eukaryota; Viridiplantae; Streptophyta; Magnoliopsida; Magnoliales; Magnoliaceae.
GGUCUUUCUUAGGGUGCCUUAGAUGGUGGACUUGACAUUCCUCAUAGUGACAAGAGGUUUGCUGGUUUCAAAAAGGAGGACAAACAACUUGAUCCUGAGGUUCACCGAAAGUAUAUAUUUAGUGGUCAUGUUGCUUCUUACAUGAGGAUGAAGGAAUGGGUAUUGUAUGUUGGAACAAAAGGUUGCUGAUAACAGAAUGUUCACAUGAACUCUUGAAACAAGCAGGAAGCAGCUGCAUGUAAUUCUAUUCAAGUGAGGAUCCUUGAGCCUUGGGGCUUUUUCAGUGGGGUACACUGGACUUAGAUUGAAAAAAUAGAGAAAAAAACCUUUUAAAUCACAUUUAAGAUGGCCUUCAUUAGCUGAGAUUCUUUGACAUUAACAGAGCUUGUGUAGGAGAACUACAUCUCACAUGGAGAAACAGGUACUAAAAAGUAGACUGAACAACUAGACUAGAAGAAAAGCUCUUGGACAUGGUUAGUUCCAUAAAGGAGGAAUAUGAUCAAGCCCAAUCUGAGCUCAAUUUGAGUCAUUCAAAGAUGAAAGAAUGUGACGCUGAGAUCAGUGCCAUUCUCAAGGAGCAACAGAAGCUUCAACAUAAAAUUAGUGAUGCAAAUGUUGAGAGGAAAAAAUUGGAAAAUGAGAUUAAGCGAAUGGAGAUGGAACAGAAAGAUUACUCCCUGAAGGUAGAUAAACUACUAGAAAGGCAUAGUUGGAUUGCAGCUGAGAAACAAUUAUUUGGAAAAAGUGGGAUAGAUUAUGACUUCUCAUCUCGUGAUCCUCGUAAAUCAAGGGAGGAGCCUGAGAAACUUCAAUCUGAACAAUCUGGAAGGUUAAUGGACAUGCAUCUCAGUUAAUCUGAUUGAUUGCUUUCAACCUUUAGAAGAGGGCUAACAAAAAAGUUAUGGCAAUGUUCGAGAAAGCUGAAGAUGAAUACAAUGACUUAUUAUCCAAGAAAAACAUCAUUGAGAAUGAUAAGUCAAAAAUCAAGAAGGUGAUUGAAGAGCUUGAGAAAAGAAGAGGGAAACACUAAAAGUUUCUUGGGUGAAAGUGAACAAGUGAGUCAACACUUCUCUGCUCUCAUGUUCCAGUUCAUAUUUUGUGCUUUUUAGUUGAAAAUCAAGAAUGCCAUUUACUUUUGUUGGUAUAUUUCAGCGAAAGAAAUUUCCUUUCCGGAUUAUGUUAGUGUGCGUGAUUUCAGCGUUUCAGAUAGCUGAAACUAUGGCCCAAAUUAUAGUAUCCGACUUCCUUGGAUCCCUGGAUCAGACAAAUUCGGUGGAUCCCGAGGAUAGGCCGUGUUUAUGUAUUUGCUCAAAAUUAAUGAAGCAGUCCCGGAUGUGCGUCGGAGCUAUCCGGAUGAGCGGGGGUCCCUGGAAGGUGGGAACUGCUGUUAUGACCAUGAUGAAGCUGUCCAUUUCCUAUGGACAGCAUUGGAGGGGCCUAGCCAUUUGGACAGGCUGUGUUUAUGUAUUUCCUCGAAAUUAAUGGAGCAGACCCGGAUGUGCGUCGGAGCUAUUCGGAUGAGCGGGGGUCCCUGGAAGGAGGGAACCGCUGUUAUGACCAUGAUG